This 272-nucleotide long non-coding RNA is filed under the name Arabidopsis lyrata. RNAcentral's name for it is "long non-coding RNA (ALYR_LNC002074)". Lineage: Eukaryota; Viridiplantae; Streptophyta; Magnoliopsida; Brassicales; Brassicaceae. The record is from RNAcentral.
GGGCCGGUCCUAAACUUAUAGAGGCCUAAAGCAUUUUUAAAAAUGUGGCCUUAAUAUUUAAGGUACCAAAUUUAUUUAUAUUUAACUUUUAUAUAUUUUUAAUAUUAGUUACAUUGUAUACAAAGUAAAAUGAAUUUUUUUGAAAAUGAUAAGAUCUAAAUUUUUUUUUUCAGAGAAUAUGUUCAAACCUAUAUUUUAACAAAAUAUGAGAGAAAUUAUUUAAUACCUCAUAUGGUUCAAAUUUUUUUUAUUUUAGUUAUAUCUAAUUAGCU